Molecule: transfer RNA, 73 nt
Filed under: Clostridia bacterium
Lineage: Bacteria; Bacillati; Bacillota; Clostridia
Description: tRNA-Glu
Rfam family: tRNA
About the family: Transfer RNA (tRNA) molecules are approximately 80 nucleotides in length. Their secondary structure includes four short double-helical elements and three loops (D, anti-codon, and T loops).
Source: RNAcentral
GGCUCCCUAGUCUAAAGGUUAGGACAUCGGCCUUUCAAGCCGAAAAUGCUGGGUUCAAGUCCCGCGGGAGUCA